This 386-nucleotide long non-coding RNA is filed under the name Androctonus crassicauda. The record is from RNAcentral. Lineage: Eukaryota; Metazoa; Arthropoda; Arachnida; Scorpiones; Buthidae.
AUUUACAACUGUUUUAUUGCAAAAAUUGAAAGGAAAAUUAAUGCAAGAUGAAUAACAAUUCAAUUUUAAAUUAUGCAAUAAAAAGUCAUUAUAUUUAAUACAUAAUUAGAUCUGACCUAAAAAUAGAGUACACAUCAUCAUGUUAAUGCAGUAUUUUCCAAAUUGUAGGAAAAACUGUGGGGCACACCUCACUAGGGGGUGCGAGUUAUUCCAAGGGGGCAUGCAAGAAUUAAUUGAAACCUUAUUUUUGAUACAAACAAGCAAAAAUAAAUUGAAAUUGAUAUUGAAAAAAAUAAAUCAGCCAAAGGUUUAUAAAUACAGUACAUAUAUCUGUGUAUUCAGAAAAUUUCUGCUGUAGCUGUUUUAAAGUCAAAAUAAUAAUCUUG